AUUCCUAAACCAAGGGAUGGCCAACCAGGGGCUGAUGUCUCCCUGUGGAGAAGGGGAGGAGACAGCAGACACCCACUUGGUACACGUGGGCAAGGUGCAUGGGAAAGGUGGGGACGCUCAGGGACAUCACAGGCCACGCCUCUUCCUCAGCCCACCCUGCUCCUGGGCCUGUGACCUGUGACUAGCUAGGGGCAAGCACCCGGGGGUGGGCUGCCUUGGGGGAGGGGAGAUCCACUCAGCUUUCCCUACGGUUUCUUGAGCAUGCAGGCAAGAUUGGACCUCUUGACGUGUUCCCAAAAGAGAGGAGAAAAAAGUGAUCCCUGGUUUGCAUUGCGUUUGAGGUGGGGCAUGCCCCAAAUUCAAGGCUGCUCUGUGUGAGCUGGGAGGAAGGCUCCUUAAAGCAAAGCUUUGCUGGGAACAGGCACGGCUCACAGGCUCUGACUGCUUCUCUGGAACUCAUGGCUGCUGGAAACUUGUCCUCUCCCCACCUUGGAGCUCUCCCCAGCCCUGUUCAUCAUUGAAGGAAGUCAGCCCAGUCAGGAACUCAAGCUGGCCAGGAACCUGGAGGCAGAGGCUGAUGCAGAGGCCGCGGAGGAAGAAGGAGCUCACUGAACCCCGACCGACGGCCCCAGCGCCCCUCCGGGAGUUGCUCAGUGCCCUGGCCGUCCUCACUGACCUGCCAUACUGGAGCCCUCAGUGAGUAGCAGGAACCCAGCUCACCUCAGCCUCAGCUGUCCUCAGGAAAGCUGACUCCCGGGGUAUGGGGGGUAUGGGGGGCAGGUCCUGCUGGCCAGGCCUUGGUGUGCAUGUGGCCCGGUGGCCCCGUGGUUAGCCUUACUGGCUUGUGCACUCUGCUGGGCUCUCAGACAUGCCGUCCUUCCCGUACCUGGCCCCACCUUUCCUUUAGUGCUGCUUCUGUUCAGACGGAGACACCAGCUCCUCUUUCUGCAGUGGCUUCUUAGUGGGACCUGCAAGCCUGGCAAAGCACCUGGGCAGACUCGCCUGUCAGGGCAGAGGUGCCAUGGCUAUGUCCCCUUAGCAUCUUAGAGGAAGGCAUAAUGGACGACAUCAUUACCAGACAAACCGCUGACAAGUUUAAAACUGCUGCCUUCUGCUUUAUUGACAGGUAAAUUGUUCAAAAAUGUUCUCACAAUAAUUACAAAGACUCAGACUUACAUUAAAAAAGUAAAAACCAGAACCCCCAGCAGGUGCCUGCCCCGGCACAGAGCCGGGGAGGGUGGGUGGGGCAGGCAGCAGGUGCUGGGUGUGACACGCAGGCUUGGCCUGCUGUGCCACCACCCUCAGUGCCAACUCGGCCAAGUGCUCACCCUGAAUUGUGUCACCAAGCACGCCAACGGGGAAGGGAGGCCUGUCCAAGAUGAGGACAAGACAUGUCUGCUGCCACAGUUAAUCGCCAGCCUUCACGGGCAGGGCCACUGACCUGGUCACUCAGCCCAGGACACAGGAAGGGAUGAGGUUCAACACUCGUGGCACUCCCGGGCCUGGUGCUGCUGAUGUGCAGGAGUGUUGGGCGAUUCUGUGACACAGAGGCUCCAUGCAGGGUAAGGGGAUGUCACAGGGCCUGGGGCAUGGCUCCCCAGGCUCCGGUUGCCUCUGAACUCAGCAGGCCAUGGACCUGUCUUCCCCACCGUGUGCUGGCCUGUGGCAGGCUGCAGACACACAGGGAGCCAGCGCACAGCUGCCUUCACAGCAGGAGGGGCAUCUCAUGGCUGUGGCCCAGAAUGGACGGACACAGGGACACAGGCGGCCGGUCAGCAGCUGCCUGUGUCAGGGUUAAGUGGAUGAAAAGGCCACCAACUACCCUCUGCCUUCUGUGGCACUGGGAUGGCGCACUUUAGUCUUUGUAGGGUUGAGACAUUUUCAGGAGAGAGGGAGGGUCUUGAGGCCAUACCCCAGCAUCUGCUGAGGAAGCCGGUGGACGUGGGCCUGGGUGGUCCUGGGGGGAGGGGUGAGUGGUGGUCCUUCAUGUGCAAACGGAACAGUGUUGCCUCGCGGCUGUGCAGACGAACACAUCUGGUCGAUUGCCACCAACAAUGUGGCACAAAACUGAUCAUUAUAAUAAAGAUUAUUUUAUCUAUCU
This 2101-nucleotide long non-coding RNA is filed under the name Mus caroli (Ryukyu mouse). RNAcentral describes it as "lncRNA (MGP_CAROLIEiJ_G0004920.1)". The record is from RNAcentral. Lineage: Eukaryota; Metazoa; Chordata; Mammalia; Rodentia; Muridae.